AGCGAACGCUGGCGGCAGGCCUAACACAUGCAAGUCGAACGGAUCCUUCGGGAUUAGUGGCGGACGGGUGAGUAACACGUGGGAACGUGCCCUUUGGUUCGGAACAACUCAGGGAAACCUGAGCUAAUACCGGAUGUGCCCUUCGGGGGAAAGAUUUAUCGCCAUUGGAGCGGCCCGCGUCUGGUUAGCUAGUUGGUGAGGUAAAGGCUCACCAAGGCGACGAUCAGUAGCUGGUCUGAGAGGAUGAUCAGCCACAUUGGGACUGAGACACGGCCCAAACUCCUACGGGAGGCAGCAGUGGGGAAUCUUGCGCAAUGGGCGAAAGCCUGACGCAGCCAUGCCGCGUGAAUGAUGAAGGUCUUAGGAUUGUAAAAUUCUUUCACCGGGGACGAUAAUGACGGUACCCGGAGAAGAAGCCCCGGCUAACUUCGUGCCAGCAGCCGCCGUAA
Molecule: ribosomal RNA, 449 nt
Filed under: uncultured bacterium
Lineage: Bacteria
Description: partial 16S ribosomal RNA
Rfam family: Bacterial small subunit ribosomal RNA
Source: RNAcentral